This 284-nucleotide ribosomal RNA is filed under the name Monacha claustralis. Its description in RNAcentral is "partial 16S ribosomal RNA". The record is from RNAcentral. Lineage: Eukaryota; Metazoa; Mollusca; Gastropoda; Stylommatophora; Hygromiidae.
UCAGUUGACUUAUAAUUGAAGUCUAGUAUGAAUGGGAACACGGGAAUAUUCUGUCUUUAAUAUAUAAAAGAAAUUACUAAUUAAGUGAAAAUUCUUAAAAAUAAGAAAAUAGACGAGAAGACCCUAGAAAUUUUUUAAUUUGAUUUUGUUGGGGCGACAGGGUAACAAAAAACUUACCUAAAGUAAUAGGAAAUUUUUUAGUGGUGUAAUUAAAUUACUCUAGGGAUAACAGCAUAAUAUUUUAAAGGUUGUGACCUCGAUGUUGGACUAGGAAAUACACUACU